GGAGGUGUAGCUCGGUGGUAUAGCACUUGCCUAAAACACUUGCAAGACUCUGGGUUCACUACUCGGCACUUCCA
RNAcentral lists this transfer RNA (74 nucleotides) under Cavia porcellus (domestic guinea pig). It matches the Rfam family "tRNA". Rfam says of the family: Transfer RNA (tRNA) molecules are approximately 80 nucleotides in length. The record is from Rfam by way of RNAcentral. Lineage: Eukaryota; Metazoa; Chordata; Mammalia; Rodentia; Caviidae.